AGAGUUUGAUCCUGGCUCAGAGCGAACGCUGGCGGCGUACUUAACACAUGCAAGUCGCACGAGGAUCAUCGGGUUAGCAAUAAUUCGGCGGUUCUAGUGGCGUACGGGUGAGUAACACGUGGGUAACCUGCCCUUGAGACCGGGAUACCCUCUCGAAAGGGAGGCUAAUACUGGAUACGUUCCCCGGGGCGCAAGACCUGGGGAGGAAAGGUGGCGAAAGCUGCCGCUCUUGGAGGGGCUCGCGGCCUAUCAGCUAGUUGGUGAGGUAACGGCUCACCAAGGCUAUGACGGGUAGCUGGUCUGAGAGGACGACCAGCCACACGGGAACUGAGACACGGUCCCGACUCCUACGGGAGGCAGCAGUGGGGAAUUUUCCGCAAUGGGCGAAAGCCUGACGGAGUGACGCCGCGUGGGGGACGAAGGCCUUCGGGUCGUAAACCCCUGUCAGAGGGAAAGAAGGGUGUCGGCGUGAAUAGCGCCGGCAUCUGACGGUACCUUCAGAGGAAGCCCCGGCCAACUCUGUGCCAGCAGCCGCGGUAAGACAGAGGGGGCAAGCGUUGCUCGGAAUCACUGGGCGUAAAGGGCGCGUAGGCGGGAUGGCAAGUCGGUCGUGAAAUCCUUCGGCUCAACCGAAGAACGUCGGCCGAUACUGCUGUUCUUGAGGGAUGCAGAGGAGAUUGGAAUUCUCCGGUGUAGCGGUGAAAUGUGUAGAGAUCGGGAGGAACACCGGUGGCGAAAGGCGGGUCUCUGGGCAUCUCCUGACGCUGAGGCGCGAAAGCGUGGGGAGCAAACGGGAUUAGAUACCCCGGUAGUCCACGCUGUAAACGAUGACGACUAGGUGUGGGGGGGGGUUAGUCCUUUUCCGUGCUGCAGCUAACGCAUUAAGUCGUCCGCCUGGGGAGUACGGCCGCAAGGUUGAAACUCAAAGGAAUUG
This 934-nucleotide ribosomal RNA is filed under the name uncultured bacterium. Its description in RNAcentral is "bacterial SSU rRNA". It matches the Rfam family "Bacterial small subunit ribosomal RNA", at positions 8 to 912 of the family's 1533-position model. The record is from RNAcentral.